GAUGAACGCUGGCGGCGUGCUUAACACAUGCAAGUCGAACGGGAUCCAAGGGGUGCUUGCACUUUUUGGUGAGAGUGGCGCACGGGUGAGUAACACGUGAGUAACCUGUCCUUUUCUUUGGGAUAAGCAUUCGAAAGGGUGUUUAAUACCUUAUGUUCUGUCUGCCUCGCAUGGGGUGGGUGGGAAAGGCUUUGGCCGGAUUUGGGUGGGCUCGCGGUCUAUCAGCUUGUUGGUGGGGUGAUGGCUUACCAAGGCUUUGACGGGUAGCCGGCCUGAGAGGGUGGUCGGUCACAUUGGGACUGAGAUACGGCCCAGACUCCUGCGGGAGGCAGCAGUGGGGGAUAUUGCACAAUGGGCGAAAGCCUGAUGCAGCGACGCCGCGUGGGGGAUGAAGGCCUUCGGGUUGUAAACUUCUUUUGCUCUGAACAAGGCAUGCCAGUGGGUGUGUUGAGUGUAGGGGUUGAUUAGCGCCGGCUAACUACGUG
RNAcentral lists this ribosomal RNA (485 nucleotides) under uncultured bacterium. RNAcentral's name for it is "partial 16S ribosomal RNA". It matches the Rfam family "Bacterial small subunit ribosomal RNA", at positions 28 to 507 of the family's 1533-position model. The record is from RNAcentral.